UUUUUUUUUUUUUUUUUUUUUUUUUUUUUGGUUUGUUUGUUUGUCUGUUUUUGCCUUUUUCUUGAGCCACUCCCGUGGCAUAUGGAGGUUCCCAGGCUAGGGGUCGAAUUGGAGCUGUAGACACCGGCCUACGCCAGAGCCGCAGCAACGCAGGAUCCAAGCCGUGACUGCGACCUACACCACAGCUCACGGCCACUCCAGAUCCUUAACCCACUGAGCAAGGCCAGGGAUUGAACCCGAAACCUCGUGGUUCCUAGUCAGAUUCGUUAACCACUGAGCCACGACGGGAACUCCUCUGGUUUAUUUCUAACAUUAACUUACAGCAUGUAUUAUCAAAUGCUUCAGAAUCUCAAUUCAUUUUUUUUCAGGUAUCAUUUUUGAUGUAUAGUUAUUAUGAGGCACAUAAAUAUCAUGGUAUUUAUUAUUACCUAUAAUAGUUACUUGUUAGCUAAAAUGUUUAUAUAAUAAUAACUUACCAAAAGCAUAGUGCCAUACUUAUUAGUUAUACCCACAUAAUAAAUAUAUUAAGAUAGUAAAGAAAAAGCACAGGAAUGCCUAAUCAAAACACUGGAUCUUCAGGGAUCACUGGAGAGCUCAGAGAUAAGAAAAAUAGCAAAAUCUAAAUAAAGUAACAGGGAAUUCUUAAAAUCUUUCAAAAUAAAUAUUCAUACAUUUUAUAAGAAAAUAAAUAUACUGGUGGAUUAUUAGAAUGUAUUGUGUUUUGAAGAUUUGUAAUAGUUUUCUUAGUAUUACUUGAUUGAUUAGGGCUGAACUCUCUCUAAUGCUGUUAUCAAUGUCUUCUGUUCCUAGGAAAGGAAUUCUUGCUGUGGAUGUGAAACAUUUCUGGUUCUAUGUAAAAAAAGAAAUGAAUGGAUCAUAGAAACACCUAAACCCACGCAGUUUACUAUCCUCACUAACCCAAGCUUAUAAUUCCACGGUCUUCAUCAACAUGACCUUUCUCUUCAGGGAAAUUCUUGCCAAGGAAGAUAACAGAUGUAGAAAACUUGUAUAUUUCAGGGAUUUCCUACAAAACUCAUUUAAAUUAACAUCAGGCUGAGUGACUUUUUGAUUGCAUCAACCAAAUAUUUCUUUCCUACGACUUUUUGAGCCCACACUCUGAAAAUCUUCCCUUACUUCAUUUAUCAGUCUUUAACCAUUGCAUCAGCAUUUUUGCCUAAUCUGAACAUUGCGCCUGUGUGGAAAGACCCACUUUGAACCAGAUCCACAAACCUCAUAAAUAUCCUGACAUUGCUCUCCCUACUGAGACAGGAUUUCCAAAGUCUUUGUCAAGGUAGUGAUCUGCUUUAGUAAAUAAGAAUGAAUUUAUCUUUGUCAUAUUCGCAUAUCUCAUGGUAUUUUCUGGGAGUUUGUAAUUGACAUGGAUGAAUGUGAACUAUUUGCUUGCUUAUUAACAUCUUGAUUUAAAUUAAACUGUCCUUUUUUCUUAAUAAGUUAUCCCCACCCCUAGUUUUAUUGAGAUAUAAUUAACAUAACUUUUUGACAAGGCCUGCUCCUCAACCCGGGUCCCAAAGUCAGCAGUGCUGCAGAAAUAAGAGGAAAGAGACAAAGAAAUAGAGUGGGAAUCAGGGGCUACAGCCUUCAAGAGGCAAUAGCAACCCUCUGAGCCAACUCAUGGUUUUUAUUUACUAUUUUCUACUUCCUUGUACGUUCAGGGGAUACAUCGGUAUUUUACUUCAAACUUAUUGGAAGCAAGAUAUGCUAGGACAGUCAUUUCUAAGUACAUAAAGUAAUCAUAAAUGUUUUAGCCCUCCCAGGCCAUAAUUUGUUGUUUGCUUCAAGCUGUCUAUGGCCUCUUCCAUAAAUCCCCCAAGGCUCAAGUCCUGAGAAUGUCAGAGCUGAUGGUUUUACAUCAGCAACAUCCGUGCUUCAGCAAUCUUGUUUUCAAGAUGCCAUUUUUUGAUGUUGUUCUCAUUCAUUAUGCCUCAAGGGUCAUGAGAGUCACAAGAAUUUGUAUAGGCUGACCUUCUACAGCCAUUCUAUGGCACCAGUCUUUUCUUUCCAUUCUUUGUCACAUCUCAUAUUCAUGCCUCCAACAACUUUUGUAUGUAUUUAAGGUGUAAAACAUAAUGAUAUAUAUCUAUAAUGAAAUGAUUAUCAUACUAGUUUAGUUAACAUUGAUCACCUCACAGAAUUACAACUUUUUUUUCUUGUCAUGAAAACUUUUAAGAUUGAAUCUCUGAGACUCAUCACUUUCUUUUCAUAGCAGAAUAUGCACUUAAAAUUAACUCCCCAGUAGCAUGACAUGCUUACUAUUAUUUGCAACAUGUAUUUAACACUCAAUCUCUGCACCAUUUUUCACAUCCUUCAAUCCUAAUAUCACUCAUCUUGAACAUUUCUAUGUCAAAAAUGUUACAAUUUUUAAAUUUACUCUCUCUUUCCUGUCUUUGAGAAAGAAAGAUUUUUUUUUUUUUUUGUCUUUCAAGAUUAAUCUUAGAAUUGUACCUCAAUGAAACCCUAAAAAAUUAAUCUUGGAUUUCUACUGUCCGUAUUCAUCUAUAAAUAUCUUCUCUGUUUCUUUCCCUCACUUCUUCCUUUUCACCCUAGGUAUUUUUUUUUUCUGUCUUUUUGACUUUUUAGGGCCACACCCGCAGCAUAUGGAGGUUCCCAGGCUAGGGGUCUGUCUAAUUGGAGCUAUAGGUGCUGGCCUACGCCAGAACCACAGCCACAUCAGAUCUGAGCCGUGUUUGCGACCUUCACCACAGCUCACAGCAACGUCAGAUUCUUAUCCCACUGAGCAAGGCCAGGGAUUAAACCCGCAACCUCAUGGUUCCUAGUUGGAUUUGUUUCCACUGUGCCACGAUGGGAAUUCCCCUCACUCUGUGUAUUAACUCCAUCACUGUCUCUUUAGUUUUCAUAAUGUCCUUAAUGACAUUCUCUUUUACUUUAAAAACAGCCGAAUCUCCUCUGUAAACCCUCCUCCUUCCCAGAUCCUUUUUCUGUUGAAAUUAUUAUUGCUUACUCUUAUUUCAAUAUAUAGAACUGAGAACUGAGGAGUAAAAGAACUACAUAUUUUGUUUCCAUGUCUUUACCAGUGAUUAAUUUUUAAUACUGUACAAUUUGAUUUCAAAUCAUAUCACUCUACCAAAACUGCUUUCAAAGAUAACCGAUGACUUUCUAGUUGCCUAAAUCUAGUUGUGUUUUCUUGGUAGUUCUUUUAAAACAGAACAAACAAACAAACAAACAAAACAGCAACAGAUAAUCAGAGAAAACCACAAAAAGCCCUUGCCCAGCAUUUUCUUAAUGACUUUCUCUCUCUUAGCUGGCAUUCUUAAUUCCAGUUUAAUUUUAGGAAAUAGUAACAUGAUGACCAUUUCAAUGAAGUCAGUAGCAUUUGGUGACUAAUUUAAAAACUCAUUUUUUCCUGGGAAUGUGCAAUAGAAUACUGUCCAAAAUUUUAGCCAAUGUAAGAUUAUACGUGCAAAUGUAUGAAACAUUUUUGUAUGCUGGGGAACACUGUGCCUACCUUCAGUACAUUAAAUGCUCACUUUUAUAUGUUAUUCAGUACUCACAACAAUGUAAAGAUGUAUUCAUUAUCAGUCACAGUUUACAAAAGACAUAGCUAAGUUACAGAGAAGUUAUUUAAUUUGUCCAGACUAUAUAUUAAGUUGAACAUUUAGUCUUCAGAUUCUUCUCAUUUGGCUUCAAGUCUUUACUUAAGCUUUUUUCAUUACACUGCAUAGAUCUAUAGAAAUAAGGUUAAUCAAGGAAUGAACAAUUGUCAUAGCUCAAAAAAUUAUAAAACUCCAUUUUUAUAAUCACACAUUAAAUGAAUGUUAAUCUUGAUGCACGAAAUAUUUUUAAAAUUAAGACAAUUUUGGAGUUCCUGUUAUGGCUCAUUGGGUUCAGAACCAGUGCAGUGUCUAUGAGGAGACAAGUUUGAUCCCUGGCCUCACUCAGUAGGUUACGGAUCUCGUGUUGCUGCAAGCUGUGGUGUAUGUCGCAGAUGUGGCUCAGGUAUGGUGUUGCCCUGGCUGUAGCAUUAGCUUGCAGCUGCAGCUCCCAAGCCUGGGAACUGCCAUAUUCUGCAAGUGCAACAUGUUAAAAAAAAAAUUAAGUACUUUAAGUUCAUAUGCACUCUUGUUUGGUAUGAACAUUUGAAAUAAUUUUACCUCAUGUUUGUGUAUCUAUAAACACAUGACUCAGUAUGAUAUUUAAAGUUAAGGUCAAUCUUUUUCUAUAUAUCAUCAUGAAACAUGUAAUAACUCUCAGCUUUGCCAUUAAGGGCCGCUGGACUUACUAAUGCUUAUGUAAGAUUUUAUUGGAUUGAUGUAGAGUGUAUUAAUGUCAUUAAUAGCUGUAACAAAGGGAACCAAAAAUCCAAUUGCUCAAGCAAGAUAAAAUUAAUUUCUUAGCUGUUUAAAAAUGUAUGUACAUGGGAAUUCCCGUCAUGGCUCAGUGGUUAACAAAUCCGACUAGAAACCAUGAGGUUGCGGGUUCGAUCCCUGCCCUUGCUUGUGGGUUAAGGAUCCGGCGUUACCGUGAGCUGUGGUGUAGGUUGCAGACACGGCUCAGAUCCUGAGUUGCUGUGGCUCUGGUCUAGGCCGGUGGCUACAGCUCCAAUUCCACCCCUAGCCUGGCAACCUCCAUAUGCUGUGGGAGAGGCCCUAGAAAAGACAAAAAAAAAAAAAAA
RNAcentral lists this long non-coding RNA (4651 nucleotides) under Sus scrofa (pig). Its description in RNAcentral is "lncRNA (ENSSSCG00015063149.1)". Lineage: Eukaryota; Metazoa; Chordata; Mammalia; Artiodactyla; Suidae. The record is from RNAcentral.